This 260-nucleotide long non-coding RNA is filed under the name Phaseolus vulgaris (common bean). RNAcentral's name for it is "long non-coding RNA (PVUL_LNC003559)". Lineage: Eukaryota; Viridiplantae; Streptophyta; Magnoliopsida; Fabales; Fabaceae. The record is from RNAcentral.
AUGUGCCUCAGGAUCCUCCACGCCGGUAAAAACAGCCUUCACAGGUACCACACUCGCAGGGAUAGGCGUGUCGGUAAUCGCCUGAGCGAAAGGCAUAGGAAAAACGCGAGGCGGCGUUGACGGCGCGACCUCUUCAGCGACUGGACGCCCUCGCUGCUCCUGAAGAGCUUGACGCAGUUCUUCAGUCACUCUGCUAAGCUCAUCAUUCCUGGCCCGAGAGGCGACCAGGUCCUCGUGCAUUCUUGCCUGUUCUAUACGCG